Long non-coding RNA from Gossypium arboreum, 339 nucleotides. RefSeq lists it as uncharacterized. The transcript has 2 exons. NCBI's taxonomy places the organism in Eukaryota, Viridiplantae, Streptophyta, Magnoliopsida, Malvales, Malvaceae. The record is from RefSeq and is a predicted model, not a curated record.
UUGUAAAUUAAUUAAAAUAACCUAAUAAGACAAAUGAUAAAAGCUAUCAUUUUUUUUCAUUCUUUCUUCUUCAACCGUGGGAAAGAACAGAAAAUAGCAGCCAUGGAUGAGCUCCAUUCGGCCAAGCUUUUAUGGCUUAUAUAGAUGAUGAAAAUUGAGACUUGGACCUAGAACGGAAAGAAAUCGAUUUAUGGACGAGUAUGUCCUUUUCACAUUUGUGGUAUCGAGGUAAGUUCGUAUGUAAACAAUACCAUGCUAUACAUGUAUUUAAAUGUUAUCAUUACAUGAAUUGUACAGAUAUUAAUGUGUAUGUAAUUAAUAGAAAUAUGAUAAGACAAA